Molecule: long non-coding RNA, 1272 nt
Filed under: Glycine max (soybean)
Lineage: Eukaryota; Viridiplantae; Streptophyta; Magnoliopsida; Fabales; Fabaceae
Description: long non-coding RNA (GMAX_LNC003989)
Source: RNAcentral
CUCCUCAUGUUUUUACUCUUAUACUAACUCGUUAAUUACUUUAAAGUUAUUAUGCUGGCACCUAACAUCUUUAAUUCUUUUGAAAAACAUUACACCUUAUACCCUUAAGGGAGAUUGUAAUAAAAAUUAAUGAAAAAGCUACGUUCUCCUUCAAUCUAUUGUGAGUUGCUGAUCAUUCAUCUGGUUUGGCUAAUAUCAGCAAAUUUAAGAUUUGUUUCGUUGCCCGCCCUAACUAUACUGAAUUUUGGCAGGUUUCAGGGAGAACUUUUGGUAGCACCCUUCCAUAAGAAGAAUCAGGCCGGCUUAAAAAUAUAAACACAAAGCUUGAGGUUGAAAAUAUGGUGCAUUUAUUUCUCAUUUGGAAAGGAAGGUACAUUUUGAUUUUAAAGAAAUAUACGAUCGAUAUGCAAAAAGGAAUGUAAUAAAAAUAGCAAAUAUUUCAAAUGAAUGAAAAGUACCAAUUGAUUAAAUCGCCUUCACCACUUGGUAUAUAUGUAGUGUAGCUCAGCAAAAUCUAUCACUUCAAUUCCCUGCUCUGGCCAGUGCAUGAGCAGUUGAGCACAACAAAUAUUGUAGCAAAAAACUGAAUGGAAUUGCUUUCCAAAGCUAUGUAGCAUUGUCAAGCACAAAAACACGUACGUAGUGGAGUGCUACAUCAAAACCCAUUAGAUUUCAAACAAAGAUACCUGCAAAGGUGCAUGGUUACAACUCACAAGCCGGCCAGAUACGUAGCUAUUUAUCAGAUAAGCACAUUGACCUUCGUUAAGUACUUGCAUUAUGUACAUAUAUAUCAGAUAUGUAAAGUAAUUAUUUAAUUAUUAAAUAGUAAGUAACUCCCUAAGAAAAGGCAUCUAAUUAUAUAGAAUGAAUACGAAAUAAAAUUCAAAACUCUUUAGUGCAUCGAACAAGAAACAAAAAAAAAAAAAAAGUGCAGUAAAAUGUAGCUCCCCCCUUCGCUUUCAAGCAUGGAAAAAUAACCUAAGAAAGUAAGAAUGCACUUCCCUAAAGCCGGUUACGAAAGUGAGAAAAGUGUUAUGUAUAGUAAUGGUACCAUCAUUAGACCAAAAAGUCUAAUCAAAGCGAGAGAAAUUGUAUUUCUGCAUAAAUUAUAUACAAUAAUACAAUAAUUCAUACGAAAAGGAAUAAGGUAGGACAAAUAGAGAGACCGCGUGAUAAAAUAAUAUUAAUUGAUGUAAUUGAGAUAAAAAAUAAUGUAGAAAAUAUUGUAUGAAUAAUUCAUCCAAUAAAUUAUGCAAAUAAGGUCUUAGGAUU